Molecule: long non-coding RNA, 2271 nt
Organism: Nomascus leucogenys (northern white-cheeked gibbon)
Lineage: Eukaryota; Metazoa; Chordata; Mammalia; Primates; Hylobatidae
Exons: 4
Source: RefSeq, a predicted model, not a curated record
AGAUUCAGAGUCAUGAAGCCACCUUUUGAGGAACUUCUUGGACCAUGUAUUUGGAGCAGUAUCUCCCAACUCUUUCAGCUGCUAUACCCUUGAAACUGGGAGCCAUAGAAAAGGCAGUGUUCAAUUCUGAAUUAUUUUUGGACUUGCAGUUGUUGUUACACAUGUUUUUCCACCCAAUAUUCUCAUCAAGAUUAUCAGUGAUGAAGUAUUUCUGAAAAGAGUGUUUCAGUCUCUGGGGCUUUUUCCUAAGCCACUGACAUCCAUUCUGCAAGUUCAGCGGAACAUGUUCAGUGCCCGUGUAUAAACUCCCCACACAUCAUCGGGAGCAGUCUCCCUCCAAUAGGCUUACAUGAAUGCAGUUCAAGAACUUGGGCUUUUUGGUAUAGAGAGUCUAGCAAUGUUCUUGAAGAUUUGGAAAUUGUUUACAUUCCAAGAAAAAUGCCAUCCUGUCUUGGAGGUGUUUAAGUAAGUAUUGGGGAAUUCAAGUCAGUAUUUUACUGUAUUAGUAUUCUUUCUUAGCACUGUUAGACAAGCCAAAUCAUAAUUUUCUUUUGAAAUAAACGUGCAGUCAGUGUAUACUUGAAAACAUGCAAUCAAAAGGAGUGGUCAGAAAACUUAAGAAGAAUAGAAACUUUUUAAUUAUUGUUUUUCAGUAAUUAAAAAAAUUUUUCCUUUAAUUUUCAAAAAAAUUAAAGGAAAGGGAAUAAUUGCCCUGGGAAAAAAGAAUGGUUGGGUCUUUUUAUUUCUUUCCUUCUUUUUCGAGUUUGCCAUAUUUAUUUGCUGCAAAUGGCAUGCAAUUGUGCAUAAACAUUAAUAUUAUCCACUUUGUUUCCUCUUAAUAAUACAGGGAAGCCUCAGCUUAAUCUCUCACUCAUUUCAUGCCUAAAGCACAAGUGUAUUGCUUUUGUUUUACUACAUGUUUCAUUCCAUCUGUUGGGAGCCUAGUAAGUCAAUAUUUAUCACAUUUAUAGAUUCUGAAUCACUAGGGGAAAAAAUCACUUCUGGGAAAAAACAUGCAUCAAUCGUUCUCGACUAUUUUAAAGUUUAAAAGUGUUGUCUCUGUGAUGUUAACUUUGGUAUUUUGAGCUAAACUAAUGCAGCUUGCAUUAUUUUUUAAUUAAAGCAAUUUUAAACUACAUGUUUUCAAAGUUUUCCAUUUUCCCCAAACCUCUCUGUAAUUGCCUUGUCAUGAUUAUCAUUUUCCUUUCACUGUUGCUUUCUAUGGAAGCCCCAGGAAAGAGUUACUAAAAAUUAAAUUUCAUGCUUGCAUGUGUUUCUGUGAUCUGCAGCGUGUAUGAUCUCUGAGUGGAAAACUUCUCUGAAAAUAAAUGGAUUACCCUUUUUACUACACUGUCUGAUGUCUCUUCAGCAGAUAGCAUUGCUUCCCUGUGAUCUCUAACCCACCACAAUUGAAAUGACAAGCGUUGAAAUGGGGGCCUCACGGUGGCGCCCUCUGCCUUUGCCGGCCCUUUCUGCAGCUCGGAGCGGUUCACGCCUCAGAGCACCGGUUCUCAAACUUGAAUAAUGCCUGGACCCCCUUGGGAAGGAUAGAAUCAUCUUCAGAAACCCCACAACACAUCAGUGGAAUCCACUUUGAGAAAUGCUGACCUAAAAACUAGAAUCCUAUUCUAUUAAAAUGGCUUACAUUUGAGAAUUAUCACUGCAAAGAAAAGUUCCGUCUUUUGAACUGCUAAAAGGUUGAGUUUUUACGUCUUUACUCUGCUAUUGAAACAAAACUAUUAAAAUUAUUUUAAAUAUCCUGAAAGUCUCAGACUCCUGAAAAUGUGUCCAUAGAUCCCUGCUUGAAAAACCUGCCCGAGUACCUGCUUUUCCUUGCAUUUGUUGGCAGAAGAUGAGCGUUUGACCUUUUACAAACUGCUCUGUAAAUAUCAUCAUUGCUUAGUUUGUGAAAGACUAAUGUGUUUCCACUAACAAAACUGUCUUUCCAGGGUUGCUGCUUUCUAGAAUAAUGCUUGUUUUCCUACUGGGCUUUCUGUUGCUGGUGUUUUUUUUAAAAGGCAACUAAAUUUGUCUAAGAGAUUGCACCUUGAGGCAAUCCAGGGACUCUUGAUGAAGAACUGAUGAGAAAGCCAAAGUUUCUGGUUGAAAAAAAAUAUGUGACAAAGUAGCAGAUCUCAAAAAUAUUAACCAAAUAGAUUCUCUAAUAUUUGAUACUUUAAACGCAAACUGUUUUCUAAACAAUAUUUGUAAGCAAAUGUUAAAAGUAUUUUUUUCCGGGAUUACUGCUUCUAUAUUAAACACAUAAUAUGA